RNAcentral lists this ribosomal RNA (352 nucleotides) under uncultured cyanobacterium. Its description in RNAcentral is "bacterial SSU rRNA". It matches the Rfam family "Bacterial small subunit ribosomal RNA", at positions 28 to 411 of the family's 1533-position model. Lineage: Bacteria; Bacillati; Cyanobacteriota. The record is from RNAcentral.
GAUGAACGCUGGCGGUCUGCUUAACACAUGCAAGUCGAACGAACUCUUCGGAGUGAGUGGCGGACGGGUGAGUAACGCGUGAGAAUCUGCCUUCAGGUCUGGGACAACAGAAGGAAACUUCUGCUAAUCCGGGAUGAGCCUUUUGGUAAAAGAGAAAUUGCCUGGAGAUGAGCUCGCGUCUGAUUAGCUAGUUGGUGAGGUAAAAGCUUACCAAGGCGACGAUCAGUAUCUGGUUUGAGAGGACGAUCAGACACACUGGAACUGAGACACGGCCCAGACUCCUACGGAGGCAGCAGUGGGGAAUUUUCCGCAAUGGGCGAAAGCCUGACGGAGCAAGCCGCGUGGGGGAGAA